CUCGUUUAGAUUGAAGGAGCUUGCUCCUGAUUGAUAAACAUUUGAGUGAGUGGCGGACGGGUGAGUAACACGUGGGUAACCUGCCCUAAAGUGGGGGAUAACAUUUGGAAACAGAUGCUAAUACCGCAUAAAACCUAACACCGCAUGGUGUAGGGUUGAAAGAUGGUUUCGGCUAUCACUUUAGGAUGGACCCGCGGUGCAUUAGUUAGUUGGUGAGGUAAAGGCUCACCAAGACCGUGAUGCAUAGCCGACCUGAGAGGGUAAUCGGCCACACUGGGACUGAGACACGGCCCAGACUCCUACGGGAGGCAGCAGUAGGGAAUCUUCCACAAUGGACGAAAGUCUGAUGGAGCAACGCCGCGUGAGUGAAGAAGGUUUUCGGAUCGUAAAACUCUGUUGUUGGAGAAGAAUGUAUCUGAUAGUAACUGAUCAGGUAGUGACGGUAUCCAACCAGAAAGCCACGGCUAACUACGUGCCAGCAGCCGCGGUAAUACGUAGGUGGCAAGCGUUGUCCGGAUUUAUUGGGCGUAAAGCGAGCGCAGGCGGUUUCUUAAGUCUGAUGUGAAAGCCUUCGGCUCAACCGAAGAAGUGCAUCGGAAACUGGGAAACUUGAGUGCAGAAGAGGACAGUGGAACUCCAUGUGUAGCGGUGAAAUGCGUAGAUAUAUGGAAGAACACCAGUGGCGAAGGCGGCUGUCUGGUCUGUAACUGACGCUGAGGCUCGAAAGCAUGGGUAGCAAACAGGAUUAGAUACCCUGGUAGUCCAUGCCGUAAACGAUGAGUGCUAGGUGUUUGGAGGGUUUCCGCCCUUCAGUGCCGCAGCUAACGCAUUAAGCAC
RNAcentral lists this ribosomal RNA (837 nucleotides) under Latilactobacillus sakei. RNAcentral describes it as "bacterial SSU rRNA". It matches the Rfam family "Bacterial small subunit ribosomal RNA", at positions 58 to 867 of the family's 1533-position model. Lineage: Bacteria; Bacillati; Bacillota; Bacilli; Lactobacillales; Lactobacillaceae. The record is from RNAcentral.